This 933-nucleotide ribosomal RNA is filed under the name Staphylococcus aureus S56_POEL. Its description in RNAcentral is "bacterial SSU rRNA". It matches the Rfam family "Bacterial small subunit ribosomal RNA", at positions 8 to 922 of the family's 1533-position model. The record is from RNAcentral. Lineage: Bacteria; Bacillati; Bacillota; Bacilli; Caryophanales; Staphylococcaceae.
AGAGUUUGAUCCUGGCUCAGGAUGAACGCUGGCGGCGUGCCUAAUACAUGCAAGUCGAGCGAACGGACGAGAAGCUUGCUUCUCUGAUGUUAGCGGCGGACGGGGGAGUAACACGUGGAUAACCUACCUAUAAGACUGGGAUAACUUCGGGAAACCGGAGCUAAUACCGGAUAAUAUUUUGAACCGCAUGGUUCAAAAGUGAAAGACGGUCUUGCUGUCACUUAUAGAUGGAUCCGCGCUGCAUUAGCUAGUUGGUAAGGUAACGGCUUACCAAGGCAACGAUGCAUAGCCGACCUGAGAGGGUGAUCGGCCACACUGGAACUGAGACACGGUCCAGACUCCUACGGGAGGCAGCAGUAGGGAAUCUUCCGCAAUGGGCGAAAGCCUGACGGAGCAACGCCGCGUGAGUGAUGAAGGUCUUCGGAUCGUAAAACUCUGUUAUUAGGGAAGAACAUAUGUGUAAGUAACUGUGCACAUCUUGACGGUACCUAAUCAGAAAGCCACGGCUAACUACGUGCCAGCAGCCGCGGUAAUACGUAGGUGGCAAGCGUUAUCCGGAAUUAUUGGGCGUAAAGCGCGCGUAGGCGGUUUUUUAAGUCUGAUGUGAAAGCCCACGGCUCAACCGUGGAGGGUCAUUGGAAACUGGAAAACUUGAGUGCAGAAGAGGAAAGUGGAAUUCCAUGUGUAGCGGUGAAAUGCGCAGAGAUAUGGAGGAACACCAGUGGCGAAGGCGACUUUCUGGUCUGUAACUGACGCUGAUGUGCGAAAGCGUGGGGAUCAAACAGGAUUAGAUACCCUGGUAGUCCACGCCGUAAACGAUGAGUGCUAAGUGUUAGGGGGUUUCCGCCCCUUAGUGCUGCAGCUAACGCAUUAAGCACUCCGCCUGGGGAGUACGACCGCAAGGUUGAAACUCAAAGGAAUUGACGGGGACCC